RNAcentral lists this long non-coding RNA (11680 nucleotides) under Marmota monax (woodchuck). The record is from RNAcentral. Lineage: Eukaryota; Metazoa; Chordata; Mammalia; Rodentia; Sciuridae.
GGUGUAACUAUUACUACCCCCUAUUUUACUGAUGAAGAAGUUAAGAUUAAGUCACCAUAGGGUCACAGGACUUGGAUUCAAACCUAGGAUUUAUUCCAAAGCCUGUGUCUUUAGCUACUAUAUCACCAGUACAUUUAAUCAUAGUGAAUAAAGACAAAUGUUAAAUGCAAGUGAUUACUUUUAUGCUGUUGAUAAGAUAAACAGACUAAAAAUAGGGUUUAGUGAAGAAUAAAGAAUAGGGCAAGAAUGUUCCAUCCUUAUGCAAACACUGGGACACAGGGACUGGUCAAAAAAUAGCAGUUUUAAGAAAAGUUUGGUGAAGCCAAAUGGAAUUCCAGUCAUGAGCAAUCAAUUCAAGAUUCUAUUAAGAAAGCAAAACAAUGAGAUUAUCUCAAUUACUGAGUUAACAAUGAGAUUUUGCCAUCCACAUUCAAGCCAUGAGUAAGACAUUUAUUUGAAUUAGAUAAGAAGAUAUAAUGUCAUUGAAUGAGGCCCAGUAAAUUUAAUAACAGAGAUAAAUGAAUCUGACAAUGAUCUCACACUUUAUAAAUCUAAACAUGGGACCAAGGUUAGACACAGGUCCUUGUGGUUGACAAAUGAGCUUGAAUGCUGCCUUUUACGCUAUUGGAGACCGAACAUAAUUCUUGUGUUUACAUCUUCUAAACAUGGAGAUUGAGAAAUAAUUAAUCCAAUUCUAUUUGAACCAAAAUGCAGAAGCAAGAAACAACCUUGGACCUUCCUUUCUCAAAUAGUAGCUAUGCUGGUAAUUUAAUCACUAACUGAGUUGCGUAACUUGCCUAUGACAAAUAGUAAAAUACCUACAAAGUGGAAAUCUGCCCAAGUCAUUCCUUCAUAGGAAUGGAGGUGAAGCCUUAGUUGGCUCAUGCAUGCUCUGUCUUCCUGCCCUCAAUUGCUGAAGUUACUUCUGUGUUAGGAUAGAACAUGGGGCUAAUUCUGCUCUUGAAGUGUGAAGUCACUGGAAGGUUUUAGGAAACUCUGCUGCCUCCACUCUCCUCCCCACCCCUCCUGGUACUGGCCAGCAUGUAGCAGCACACUUCCACGUAAGGUGCUCAAUCAGAUCGAAACCACAGUGUGUAAUGAAUAGCAGAUCCUGUAUCAAUCUGGCUCCUCUCCUUGUGUCUUUCUCCCUUGCUUGCUCCAGUGUUUAGUUUUAGAUAUGGGAAUUCUGAUUAAGGUCAGUCUGGCUGUUCUUUCCUGAUGACCUCAACUUUUCAUUCUUUAGUCUCAACUAAAAGGGCAUUUUUCUCUUGGAAGCUUUCCUAGGUCCCCUAAAUGACACAAGGUUCCCUUGUCCCAUGCUUUCACAGCUCCUGUGCUUCCUGACAUGAAACAUUUUCUUCAUCUCCUCUGCUAGCUCAGAGUGUCUGUGAGGACAGGUACAGAGUGCUGUCUUCACCACUAUAUUCCAAUACCUGGCACAGUACUGGUCCUUCAUGUUUGCAGAAUGAAUAGUUGCCUUUUUCAUUUUUUUUAAAAAAAGUUAUUGUAAAUUAUUUAAUGUAUACACAGAGCUGAAGAUGUAGCUCAGUGAUAGAGUGCUUGCCUAGCAUGUGCAAGGCCCUGGGUUUAAUCUCCAAUAUUGCAAAAAUAAACAAUAACCUUUAAACAUAUACACACAUGUGUAAAGAAAAAAAUUACAAACCCCCAUGUAUCGACUACAGGAUAAGAAAUAAAAACAAUACCAACACAAGUUUAGGCUCCUGCUUCUCACUCUGUUCGCAUUUUGUUCUCUGGAGGCAACUAGUUCAGUUGUCCCUUUUUACAGGCACUUUCAGCUACCUGUGGCCAGCCACAGUCCAAAAAUGUUAAUAUCUGUCUUAGCUCUUUCAAGAGGCAGAGAGACCAUAUUCACAUAUUUUAUUAUAGUAAGUUGCUAUAAUUGUUCUGUCUUAUUAGUUAUUGUUAAUCUCUUACUGUGCCCAAUUCAUAAUUUAUCAUCAAUGUACAUGGAUAGGAAAAAGCAGAGCAUUAUAAGUGCUUGGUACUAGUUCUGGUUUUGGGGAUCCACUGGAGAUAUUAGAAUGUACCUGCCAUGAAUAAGGAGAGAUAUUAUAGUUUGAACUUAGUGACUACUACUUCCAUACAUUUCUUAAUAUUUUUGUUAUCCUAUGUGCAAACUUAGAGUAGUUUUGCUUAUUUUUAUAAUUUACACACAACACUUAUAAAAAUAUUAUACAAAUUAUACCUUUUUAUAAUUGGCUUUUUUUUUCAACCUUCCUGUGAUUCAUUCAUGCUAUUGUGUUUAGCAAGAGACCAUUUUCACUGCUUUACAGUAUUUCAUUGUAUGGGUACUUUACUACUACUCAGUUUACUUAUCAAUGUGUUAUUUCAUAAAUUUUUGCUGUUACAAAAUACCAUAAAUGUCCUUAUACCCAAAAAGCAUUUCUUCUGGUAGAUCCUGUCGUGAUAUCCAUUAUACUGGCACUUCCCACUGAUUUGGGUGUCAAACCAAUGGACUCUAGGAGCCACUCAACUACUCAGCAGUCUUACAGUGGGAACACAAAGCCUCAGUUUUCAUUCUGUAAAAUUGGAAUAGUAGUCUCCCAUCUGUCUAUCUAAGAAGGUUGUUACAACCAUCAAAGGAAAUGAUGUUGCUGAAAAGAUUUUGAAACCUGAUGUAUUAAGCAACAUCUGAACAUCAACAACCAAAACGAAUUACCCAAGUGUAACAGUGCAAAAGAGUCAUAACAAAACAUCAGUAUAAGAAUUUAAUAUCUUUUGUUAUCACCUCCCCCACUAAACUUGUUAGUGCCUAUAACUUGGUGUGCUUUAUCUACAUUUAAUUGGAGGUAUUCUAGAAAUACCUUACUCCCAUCAGCUAGAUUAGGGGAAGAUCAGGUUCUUGAGAGAAAUGCGUUUGGACCUGUGGGUUUCUACCACUUAUAAAAUCCUGAGAUUGUUGAAAUGAGCUUAAUUGGUUUUGAAAACAUAUUUGCUGCACAGGUUUUGUCUUUAUGCUGGGAUGUAAAGGUGAGAGCAUUGUCAUAGCUAAAAUGAGGAUUUUAUGGAGUCGAAGACCUGGUCCACAUCUUGGCUCUACUUUCCUUACCUUUACCAGGCAUAAGCAGAAUCUCUAACAGGACUGUUGGGAAAUUUGAAUGAGCCAAUGUAAAUAAAGAGGCAUACUUGCCCCUUUGAGUAUGUGGCUAAAAACCAGGCUUAGUGGAGAUUUCCCAGCAGGAGAGGUAAGUUGGCUAGGCUUUUGUUCCUCUCACCUGAUCUCGUGCACCUCAGUUUAACUCUUCUUCACUUUUUCGAAGCAUUGGUGUAGCCAUUAUGUGGGGACCUGCAGCUGCCACAUAUCUAUGGACACUUUUGAAUAAAUGACCCUGGCAGCUAUGUUCAUUGAACAAAGUAUGCCAUCACUACUGAAAAGUUUUGUGCCAAAUUCUUUGGAUCUGCAAGUAUUGACUUCUGGUUUGGAAACUAAGAAAGAGAAGCCUGGAUAAUCCAUCUAAUCAGUUAGCAAGGAACCAAAGAGAGGGUGUUAAAGUAGCUAGUUAAUUCCAAUUUUAAUCAUGUGAUCUUGGUCUCAAGUAAGAGCUAACAACAGAUAAGAUUAAAACCUAGUGUCAGAGCUGUAGGUUCCAAAAUAGUUCUUCCUGCAGAAUGUUUGCUGUCCAUAUAUGCCUUAUCAGAAUCCUCCAGUUUUAUUCUUAUAGUCACAAUGAGCCAAAAGCUAGAUUUACCUUGUACAUUUGCACAUGGAUGUCUGGGUUCCUGGGAACUGGCUUGCUUUACACGUUUCUCUCCAUAAACGCAUUCUGUAGAAAGGUCCCUCUGCAUCUAGGAGGUGAAAAAAAGCAGGGAGGAGGGAGGACAGAACAAUGUCCUUUCUAUUCUCAUAAUCUUGGGAGGCUUCCUAGAGGGCAAAUGGCUGGAAAAGAUGGGUGGAGAUGAGUACAUGGAAUUUUGCUGUCAUGGAUUUCUUUCAUUGUUCUAUAUCCUCAACGUGUUCACUCAAAGAGGUUAUUAAGCUCCUGCUACCAGGCAUCAUAAUUUGUUGGCUUGGGAACCAGACUCCAGUUCUUCCAUCUUGGACAAAUUUCUUCAGUUCUCAUUAUCUCAAUGUCUUCAUCUAUAAAAUAGGGAUAAUAACAAUACAUGUUUCACAGGGUCAUUGUGGGGACUAAGUAAGUUAUCUAUCUCUAUCUCUGUCUAUCCAUAUCUAUAUCUAUAUAUUUUGAAACAGUGACUGGCCCAUUAUAUGUGUUCAAUAAACAUUAGUUAUUAUUAUUCCUAGCUAGAAAUUACUAAAAACUAGUAGUACAAAUAGGAAAACUCUGAUGAAUAGAGCUUUCUGGAUAAGUUUAUCCAUCUUCUGGGUUAAGAAGAGUCUUAAAAACAAAACAAAAACAUUGAAGCUAUAAUGUCAGCCACAACAUAUAGUUCAAACUUGCUAGUUGAUGCCUAGAACUGGUUUGGGGGGGCAAACACACCACACUACUUCUGAUGGUAAAGAAAAUAAAUGCUAUUAUGUACCUGCUAAAUAAGCCACCCUUUCCAAAUGGAAAACAUCACAGUCAUUUCAGUUUGCUACAGAGUUCAUCCAAUGUUGUUGGAGCAGCACAAAUGGAACAUAAUAUAAAAGUAUACACAUAAUGUACUGUUCUAAAUUCGAAGAGUGCAUUUCUCUUACAUGGCUAUUCCCCGAAAUUUUCAGAGAGAUGAUGCAUAGAAUGAGGUGGUUAUUAAGCUGAAAAUGAACCACAGUAAAACAGAGGAGGAAUUGCAAGGGCUGACAGAAUUGAAGGGAAACCAUUAAAUAUUAUAGGUAAUAGGAAAGGAGGGGGAUUAUAAGAAAUCUCGUUAGCCCUCUUGCUUUAUGGGAAGACUAAGUCUAUCAUAGUUAGGAGUUCACAGAUAAGAAUUUUUAGAGACACUUUAAAAAAAGAAAAAAGAUGUUCACAGAUGGAAAAGUUACAUUUGCUCAAUAGCCCAUUGUUCAGCGCUGCUCCUAAGAAAAUGACUUUUGUGUAACAUAAAUUCCUCACACUGCAGCCAAAUCCUGCCUCAAUGAUGGGGCUGCAACUACAGGGAAAACUACAUAACUGGGAUUCUUGGGGGAUGGGUCGCUUUUACCAUUGCUGUCUUUGUUGUUCUACUGAGCUUGGAGUAAGAAGAAAUUUUAUUUCCAACUUUCUGUCCAUAGACCUGUUUUUGAGGGGGACGGUGGGUGUAGUGGGAGGACUUGGAAAUGCCAUAGAAGGAAAAUAUUUGAGUCUUGGAAUGAUUCAGGACCAUUAAGAGCUUCAAGGCUCAUUAGGAGGGAAAUGAUUACGACUGGACAGGCCUGUAGAUGUACAGUUGAGAAGAUGUGGCUUCAUCUUUGUUCAUACUACGUGCAACUUGUGAAUAGUGCUUUUAAUGGGAUGAGGGUGGAAAGACAUUCAGUAUCAAAUGCCUUAGCUUAGGAGAAUGAAAACUGGAAAGAAAAAAAAUCCCUACCAAAAACCAGUGCCGUUCCAGAAAAUGUGAGAGUUGGGGCACUAGUUCUAGUUCUUAUAUAUAUUUUUAAUACCUUUAUUGUGUUACAUACUAUAAAAGUCACUCUUUUAAAGUGUACAAUUUGAUUAAGAUUUUCAGUGUAUUCACAGGACUGGGCAACCAUCAUGGUAAUCUAUCUUAAAACAUUUACAUUACCCCAUUAAGAAGCCCUGUCCUGGGUAGAGGCCACUCCCAUUGCUGGCCUCCCUCCCCACUCCAACCUGAGAUAACUACUAAUCUACUUUCUACAACUUUGGAUUCCCUACUCUGGACAGUUCAUGAAAGCAGAAUCAUACCAAAUAUGCUCUUCUGUGACUGGCCUUUGAGAGUAAAACAUUUGUAAGUUUCGCUAAUAGUUGAAGAGGUAUCAGGACUUCAUUUCUGUUAUCUAUGAGUAAUAUUCCUUCAGAUGAAUAUACCACAUCUUGCUCACCCACUUAUCUGUUGAUGACAUUUAGUCCCCCCCCCUAGUUUUGGGCUAUUAUAAAUAAUACUGCUAUGAACAUUCAUGUGUACGUUUUUGUGUGGAUGUGUUUUUAUUUGGUAAGUAGGCACUGAGGAGCGGAUCAGUGUGCCAUGUGGUACCUCUGCAUUCACUGUUGUGAGGAAUUGUCUAUUGCUCUCCAAGAUGGUGACCCAUCUUAUGUGUCAGAGCCUUCAAAUGUGCUGCUCCCCUCUAUCUGCAACACCUUUCCCUUUUCCUCUCCUCCAGUUCACUCUCACACACUUGGUCCAUCACUGCUAAGGAAAGAUAUCCUAAUUCCAGGUGGUUCAUUCAAUUAAACAUACACAGAGGGCCCUUGACUUCAACUGUGAAGGGUUGGUUUUCCAUCGAGGUAACAAAACACAUGAAUUGGGUGGUUAGUAGCUUAAUGUAACCUCCACUGUUGGUGUGAUGGUAUCUUCAGAGCAGGUACCAUGCCUAACUUUUCCUGCUCACUAUUGCAUAUUCUUGAGAGAGCAGCCUCCAGAGUCAAUAGAUAGGCCUUAUGAGAGUCCCUGCCAACUCUAUCUACUUUGAAUCUGUCCCCAUCUAUAAAGUGUCUCGCAGGGCUUCGUGAGCACAGCCUGGUGCUCGUCAUGUGGCAGUCAGCUGAUUAAAAGCUAUUGAGUGAACAAAUGCAUCAGUCCUGUGGGACGAUCUGCCACACCCCAUGGACUGCGUGGCCAAUGUACACUUCUCAUGGAGGUCAGGAGAGAAGGUUGAAUGAUGAGUGAGCACAAUGACUCCUACUGACAUUCCUGAAUCUCAGGCAUUCAUCCAGCAUGCUGGGUGGAGGUCAAGAUAAGGGAGGGAUGAUAUUUUGGGGGGCAUUGUCUAUGAAACCUCUGAAAACAAUAAGCCAAACUACCUUUUUGCAUUUCCACACCAAGCAGCUGUUUUGGUUGAUUUAAAGGAAGAGAUUCUUGUGCCCAGAUCUAUAGCUUAGUGUUGAACACAGUGUUUAAGAGAGGACCUGUUGAAGUACAGUUUCCUGGGUUCCAAUUCUAGCUUCUCUGGUUGUGACCAAAAUACCUGACACAAGCAACAUAAUGGAGGGAAGGCUUAUUUUGGCUCAUGGUUUCAGUCCAUAGUUGAUUGACUCCAAGGGAGAAGCAUCAUGGUGGAGGACAGCUGUUCAGGUCAUGACAGCUGGGAAGGAGAGAGAGAUGAGGAGAGAUUGAGAGUCAGAGAGAUUGAGAGGGAGAUUGAGUGAGAGAUUCAGAGAGAGAGGUUUAGAGAGGGUGGGAGGGGAAGAGAGAGGAAGGAAGGUGGGUGGGGGGUGGAGAAGAAGAGGCUGUGGGCCACAAUAUAGUCUUCCAGUGACCUACUUCCUCCAACCAUGUCUCACCUGCCUAGAGUUUCUGCCUCUUCCUAGCACUCCAUUCAAAUUAUUAAUCCACUAAUGAGGUCAAAGCUCUCAAGAUCCAAUCACUUCCCAAAGUCUCACCUCUGGACAUUGCUGCACUGGGGGCCAAACUUUCAACUUGUAAGUUUUGGAGGGACAUUCAAGAUCAAACCAUAAUAUUUUCCUACCAUUUAGGCAAGUUCCAUAACCAGUUAAGUCUCAGUUCAAUAGAAAUACUAAUCAUCCCUUUAUUGUAGGGUUGCUGAGAGGAUUCCGGGGGGCAAUGCACAUACAACACAGCUUCGUGCAUAGCACAUCCCACUGGCUCAAAGAUCCUGAGUGACUCAGCUGUUAGCCUUGGGGAGGCUUUGGUUUCUAGUUAUGAGAGAUCUAAAUCCCAAAGUAUUAGUUUCAUUAAACUCUUGACAGUCUUCCAAGGAUAAUGAGAAACAAAGGGCAUGUAAAACACCCACUUAGUGCUAUUUUAUUGUAAGCUACAGUUAAUCAGAUUUCUGAAUUUUCCAUUCACUCCCAAGAAGCCAUAAUUGAGAAAACAAGCACUGUGUGUGUGUGUGUGUGUGUGUGUGUGUAUGUGUGCACGCGCACGUGCAUGCAUGCAUGUGUGUUGUUUGGGGGUGGUUAAAAUUCAGCCAACUUCUUUUUGUCUGAGUUUAUAGAACACAAAACAAAUCAACCUCUUGAGUAUUUCUAUGGUUUCAAAUGAAAGUUAAAAAGUCAGUUUCCAUUCAUAAUAUUCCUGAUCCUCAGAGAAACUUCUUGUUUUAGGUCUUCCACAGUCAUUCUAUCUUCUAUGGCAUAAGAAGGCUGGGCUCUGGAGUUCUGCCCUUUUCUUUCCUUCUUCCCAUUGUUUGCUCACUCUUUCUUUCUCCCUUCACCUUCUUUCCUCUCUUCCUCUCUCCCUCCCUUCCCCUCUUUCUCUGUAAAGUGACAGCCUUAUAUAUCUGUGUCAAAUGGGAUAGUUAGGAUAUUUACUUUGUAGGGCCAAUGGGUAAAUGAAAUGAGACAUUGAUUUCUAAUGCAGAACAGGCAUGUGGUAAACACUCAGGAUGUGUUCAUUAUGAUUGUUACUACUGUUAGGAAAAGGGAAGAUUCUUUAUCUCACUCCUUUACUCUGAUUCUUCUGAUUUUGGCUUUGCAGAUUAAAAAUCUCAGGAACCAUUUGCCUGCAUUUCUUUCUUGAGCCUGGCUCACAGCUGUCAGUCAUGGGAGAGUGUCUGAGUUGCUAAUAAAUGAUUUGCAUAUGAGACUCCUUAGGAGCCAGGCGUCAGUUACUUAGGUGAGGAUGGAUUCUGGGCUGGGAUGUGCUCAUAGUUUUGGCUAGUAUCUGGUUAGGUCCUGGCUGCUAUUUUCCAGCUGUAACCAUCCCAAGGGUGAAUGGGGGUGGCCUUCACCAUGCUGCAGACGUGUAAAGCCAGACUUAGAAGCAAGAAGCUGUUUCUAUAGGGACAAAUCAGUACUCCCAGGGUCAAUCAUGAGUGCCUGCAGCCUUGUGUCCUCUAUUAAGUGGCAUCGUAUGGAUCUCUGAGGUUCAGUGUUGUAAAUCAAUAUGUAGAUUGUCAGUUGGCCUGCAUGCUGGGGUGGGGGUUUCCCUGUGGUCCACCUCUCUGGCCUUGAGAAAAGUAGGAAAGAUGUUUGUUACAGUUUGGAUAGGAAGUGUUCCCAGAAAAGCUCAGAGGUGAAAUGUUCAGAGGUGAAAUGAUGAUAUUAUGAGAGCUGUAACCUUAUCAGUAGAUUAAUCCAUUUGAUGGAUUAAUAAUUCGAAUGGACUACUGGGUGAUAACUACCAGCAGGUGGGGUGAUGCUGGGGAAAGUAGGGCACUGGAGGUGUGGCCUCAGACUAUAUCUUGACCCUGGCUCCUUGCUUUCUCUGCUUCCUAGCUGACCUGGGAUGAACAGUUUUCCUCUACCACACCCUCCCACCAUGAUAUUCUGCCUUACCUUAGGCUCAGAAUGAUGGCGCUGGUGGGCCAUGGAUUGAAUCUCUGAAACCAUGAACUUAAAAUAAACUUUUCCUCUUCUAAAUUGUUUUUGUCGGGUCUUUGGUCACAGCAACAUAAAAUUGACUAACACAACAAUGAUGUUCUCCUUUUCCGAUUCUUCCCCUGCGUCCUACCAGAGAGAGCAGUAGCUUCACUGCAGAGGGCAUGUGGUUUGCCUUGUUAAAUGCAGAUGCUCAGUAGAGACUCAGACUCAAUAAGUCGAGGGCAGAGAUUAGCAAAUGUAUGUUUAGAAGCACCUCAAGUCUAGACUUUAAUUCUAAUAAUUUCCUUAUUUGUGGCCUGUUUUCCUCCUCUCUACCAGCAUGAAGGUGGGGGCCUUGCCAUAUCUGUUCACCACUUCAGACUUGUGGCCUUGCCUUUAAAGGCAGGGAAAUGCAGCAUCUUUCAAACUUCAUUAUGCACUUUAAUCACACAGGGUCUUGUUAAAAUGCAGUUUCUCAUUCACUGUGUCUAGAGCAGGGUCCAAGAAUCUGUGUUUCUAACUGUCUUCCAAGGAAUGCUCUGGAGGUUGCCUCUUGGUGUAACAAAGGUAGAGUCUUUGAGGAUGCCACUUUGAAUCAUGCCACCUUUGCUAGUGGGGAGCCCCGGCCAUGCAUCUUCCCCUAUAAAUGGGGUCCUACACAAAGGUCCUUCUGAGGCACCCAUAAGAUAAGUAUUUAGCCUAGAAUAUGAUGAGUACUCAGUAAAUGUUCAUUCUUUUAAUUAUUAUGACUAAUGUUAGAAGUUAAUUCUCAGAUACCAUUUAAGCAAUGCUAGCAUGGUCAAUGUACAGUUUUUCAUCAGACUGCCUGGGCUUCUCUCCUGUGUCUACCACUUACUUAUUUUAUGGAUGUGGGCAAAUUUCUCAACUUCUUCGUGCCACCGUUUCAUCAUCCAUAAAAUGGGAAUAUGACUGCUACCUCCCUCCUAUUGUCAUUGAGAAGAUUGAACAAUAAAUCCAAAGUUCUUAUUCCAAUAUCUGGAGUCUUGGGGCUCUGUUUAUGUUAUAACCAUUAUUGAUCAACUAUUGUGUGAGAUUGUAUCUAAUGGGACCUCUGGUCUUCCUAAUCCAAACUACCAGUCAGUUCUACUAAGUAGCCUUGACAGGUCAUAGGGCCUCAGUGUGGCCACCACCCUUUAGUUAUUCCAUUAGGAUAAUAACAGCUUCCUUUUUUAGCAUUGUACCUUUGAGGAGUUAUUUAAUAUAUCUGUGUACCACACUUUGCUGAUUCAUAAGCAGGAGAAAAUAAUAGCUGCUUCAUAGCACUCUUAUAGGCAUAUAAAGCAUAAGUAAUUAGAACAGAGUUUGAAAUGUGGUAAGUGCUUUGUAGACAUUAGCUGUAAUAGCAAUUAUUGUUAUAUUGUCAUUUCACUAUAAUAUAUACAUAAAAUAGAUGUUAGCAAUGAUUAUCAUCAUAGCAUGGUACAGUAUAAUUAUGUAUUAUAUAAAGUAUGGAUUAUAAUCAUUCAUAUCAUGUACCAAUUGUCAUGAUUUGUAUUUUAUAUGUUCUCCCAAAACUCAUGUGUUGAAGGCUUGGUGUCCAGCUGAUGCUGCUAAUGGGGGGAGGGUGUGGAAACUUCAGGAGUGGGACUGAACUGGAGGGAGUUAAGUCAUUGGGGGCUACUGGGACCCUGUCCCCAUUCUCUUUGGUCUUUAUCACUUCUUGGCCACCAGGAUGUGAGCGGCUUUGUUUCACUAUAUUCUCCUAACAUGAUGUUCAGUCUCAUUAUGGAGCCAAGUGGCCAUGGACUGAAACCUUUUCUCUUGUUGUGUUUCUUGGAUAUUCUGUCACAGUGCCAGAGAGCUAACACAUCAAUAUUAAAAUCAUACUAUAAUAAUCUGUGUUUUGUCUGAAAAUGCCUUUAUUUUACCUUCAUUUAAAAUUUUUAAAAAAUUAUGUAAAAAACACAUGAAAUUUACCAUCUUAACCAUCUUUUAAGUAUACAGGUCAAUAGUCUUUAGUAUAUUCAUAUUGUUCUGUCACUAUUACCACCAUCCAUCUCCAGAAUUAUUUGUGAAACUGAAACGCUGAAUCCAUUAAACAAUAACUCCCCAUUAUUUUAUACCUCCAUCCCCUAGCAACCAUCAUUUUGCUUUCUGCCUAUCUGAAUUUAUCUACUCUAGCUAUCUUAUAUUAGUGGAAUCAUGCAAUAUUUGUCUUGGGACUGGCUUAUUUCACUUAGUAUAAUGUCUUGAGGGUUCAAUCUGUAUUGCCUAGCAUAUGUUGGAAUUUCCUUGAUUUUUGAAGGCUGAACAUUAUUUCAUUUUAUGUGUAUUCAUCUAUCAGUAGACACUUGAAUCACUCCUACCUUUGGUCACUGUGGAUAAUGCUGCAGUGAACA